RNAcentral lists this ribosomal RNA (74 nucleotides) under Janthinobacterium sp. FT14W. RNAcentral's name for it is "partial 23S ribosomal RNA". Lineage: Bacteria; Pseudomonadati; Pseudomonadota; Betaproteobacteria; Burkholderiales; Oxalobacteraceae. The record is from RNAcentral.
GUGGAAGUGCAGUAAUGCAUUAAGCUAACCAGUACUAAUUGCCCGUACGGCUUGUCCCUAUAACCUUAGCAGGU